ACCUGGAUCAAGCCCAGGAAUAUGGUGCCUCAGAGCUGGAUGGGCCAUAUGCUUAACCAAGACAAGAUCUCUUUCUCUCCAACACUGUUGCCAACUCAUGAUUCUCAUGACCUAUGCUGGGAGAGAUAUGGGCUAGGAGUCAGAGGACCUCUGACUUUGCAAAUAAUUGCUAG
Molecule: non-coding RNA, 173 nt
Organism: Tursiops truncatus (common bottlenose dolphin)
Lineage: Eukaryota; Metazoa; Chordata; Mammalia; Artiodactyla; Delphinidae
Source: Rfam